This 301-nucleotide long non-coding RNA is filed under the name Solanum tuberosum (potato). RNAcentral's name for it is "long non-coding RNA (STUB_LNC010537)". Lineage: Eukaryota; Viridiplantae; Streptophyta; Magnoliopsida; Solanales; Solanaceae. The record is from RNAcentral.
ACUCCCUCCGUCCCUAUUUACUUGUCCAUAUUUCCUUUUUUGGUUGUCCCUAUUUAGUUGUCCAUUUUGACAAAUCAAGAAAUGACAACAAUUUUUUUCCUAUUAUACCCUUAUUUACACUUCUUGAAAAUUGUAAAAGUGUAUGUUGUUUCCCUCCAAUUUAUUUCACUUGAAUUCAAAUAAGUGGUUGUAAUUUUUGAAGUGAAAAGUUGUCAUAAGGGUAAAAUUGUAACUUCACUGUGCUAAUCAUUGUUGCCUUAAUCUGUGUGUCAUUUUCUAAAGUGGACAACUAAAAAGGGAC